Molecule: ribosomal RNA, 397 nt
Filed under: uncultured bacterium
Lineage: Bacteria
Description: bacterial SSU rRNA
Rfam family: Bacterial small subunit ribosomal RNA
Source: RNAcentral
GGAAUCUUGCGCAAUGGGCGAAAGCCUGACGCAGCCAUGCCGCGUGAAUGAUGAAGGUCUUAGGAUUGUAAAAUUCUUUCACCGGGGACGAUAAUGACGGUACCCGGAGAAGAAGCCCCGGCUAACUUCGUGCCAGCAGCCGCGGUAAUACGAAGGGGGCUAGCGUUGCUCGGAUUUACUGGGCGUAAAGGGCGCGUAGGCGGACAGUUUAGUCAGAGGUGAAAGCCCGGGGCUCAACCUCGGAAUUGCCUUUGAUACUGGCUGUCUUGAGUAUGGAAGAGGUAUGUGGAACUCCGAGUGUAGAGGUGAAAUUCGUAGAUAUUCGGAAGAACACCAGUGGCGAAGGCGACAUACUGGUCCAUUACUGACGCUAAGGCGCGAAAGCGUGGGGAGCAAA